Molecule: ribosomal RNA, 462 nt
Filed under: uncultured bacterium
Lineage: Bacteria
Description: bacterial SSU rRNA
Rfam family: Bacterial small subunit ribosomal RNA
Source: RNAcentral
AACGAACGCUGGCGGCAUGCCUAACACAUGCAAGUCGAACGCUCGCAAGAGAGUGGCGCACGGGUGAGUAACACGUAGCUAAUCUGCCCUCAAGACAAGGAUAACUGUAGGAAACUACUGCUAAUACUUGAUAAGCUUACGGACUGUAGAGGUCUAUAAGAAAGAUUUAUCGCUUGAGGAUGAGGCUGCGCGCCAUCAGCUAGUUGGUAAGGUAAUGGCUUACCAAGGCGACGACGGCUAGGGGACCUGGGAGGGUGACCCCCCACACUGGGACUGAGACACGGCCCAGACUCCUACGGGAGGCAGCAAUGAGGAAUAUUGCUCAAUGGGCGCAAGCCUGAAGCAGCGACGCCGCGUGGAUGAAGAAGGUUUUCGGACUGUAAAAUCCUUUUCUGUGUGACGAGAGUGGACGGUAACACAGGAAUAAGUCUCGGCUAACUACGUGCCAGCAGCCGCGGUAAU